GAUGAACGCUGGCGGCGUGCCUCAAACAUGCAAGUCGAGCGGGGCUAUGUAAUACCGCAAGGUAGAACAUAGCCUAGCGGCGAACGGGUGAGUAACACGUGGGUAACCUGCCUGGAAGACAGGGAUAACGAUUCGAAAGGGUCGCUAAUACCUGAUAAUAUCCUUUCAUCGCAUGGUGAUAGGAAGAAAGGGGAAACCCGCUUUCAGAUGGGCCCGCGUCCCAUCAGCUAGUUGGUAAGGUAAAGGCUUACCAAGGCGACGACGGGUAGCCGGUCUGAGAGGAUGUACGGCCACACUGGGACUGAGAUACGGCCCAGACUCCUACGGGAGGCAGCAGUGGGGAAUAUUGGGCAAUGGGCGGAAGCCUGACCCAGCGACGCCGCGUGAGGGAAGACGGCCUUCGGGUUGUAAACCUCAGUUAUACGGGACGAAGGAAGUGACGGUACCGUAAGAGAAAGCCACGGCUAACUACGUG
This 475-nucleotide ribosomal RNA is filed under the name uncultured bacterium. RNAcentral describes it as "bacterial SSU rRNA". It matches the Rfam family "Bacterial small subunit ribosomal RNA", at positions 28 to 507 of the family's 1533-position model. The record is from RNAcentral.